UUCCUCCUGCUGUGUUGGUUAAGACCAAAGACUCUUUGAACCAAUAUUUGAAAUAGGGUUGCUGCAGUUGCUGGCCGUUGAGCAUGUUCCUUAGUGGAUGAGCCUGAAGUUGGUGCGUAGCGACCACCUUGGACCUUAAGGUUCAGGAUGAUGGCCUGACGGCAUGAGCGGGAGGCCC
RNAcentral lists this non-coding RNA (178 nucleotides) under Pseudomonadota bacterium. RNAcentral describes it as "6S RNA". It matches the Rfam family "6S / SsrS RNA". Rfam says of the family: E. coli 6S RNA was the first non coding RNA to be sequenced, but its function was unknown until recently. It consists of 184 nucleotides that fold into an extended hairpin structure with a large single-stranded internal bulge. The record is from RNAcentral. Lineage: Bacteria; Pseudomonadati; Pseudomonadota.